GGUUGUGUAGUGUAGUGGUUAUCACUUUGGAUUUUGAUAUGAUACAGUUUCCAAUAACCCCGGUUCGAACCCGGGCACGACCU
Molecule: transfer RNA, 83 nt
Filed under: Aspergillus saccharolyticus JOP 1030-1
Lineage: Eukaryota; Fungi; Ascomycota; Eurotiomycetes; Eurotiales; Aspergillaceae
Rfam family: tRNA
About the family: Transfer RNA (tRNA) molecules are approximately 80 nucleotides in length.
Source: Rfam by way of RNAcentral